GGGCAACCUGCCCUGUAGACUGGGAUAACUUCGGGAAACCGGAGCUAAUACCGGAUAAUCCAUUUCACCUCAUGGUGAAAUGUUGAAAGGCGCUUCGGCGUCACUACAGGAUGGGCCCGCGGUGCAUUAGCUAGUUGGUGGGGUAACGGCCUACCAAGGUAACGAUGCAUAGCCGACCUGAGAGGGUGAUCGGCCACAUUGGGACUGAGACACGGCCCAGACUCCUACGGGAGGCAGCAGUAGGGAAUCUUCCGCAAUGGACGAAAGUCUGACGGAGCAACGCCGCGUGAGUGAUGAAGGCUUUCGGGUCGUAAAACUCUGUUGUUAGGGAAGAACAAGUACGAGAGUAACUGCUCGUACCUUGACGGUACCUAACCAGAAAGCCACGGCUAACUACGUGCCAGCAGCCGCGGUAGUACGUAGGUGGCAAGCGUUAUCCGGAAUUAUUGGGCGUAAAGCGCGCGCAGGCGGUUUCUUAAGUCGUGAUGUGAAAGCCCACGGCUC
This 504-nucleotide ribosomal RNA is filed under the name uncultured Bacillus sp. Its description in RNAcentral is "bacterial SSU rRNA". It matches the Rfam family "Bacterial small subunit ribosomal RNA", at positions 119 to 610 of the family's 1533-position model. The record is from RNAcentral. Lineage: Bacteria; Bacillati; Bacillota; Bacilli; Caryophanales; Bacillaceae.